AGAGUUUGAUCAUGGCUCAGAUUGAACGCUGGCGGAAUGCUUUACACAUGCAAGUCGAACGGCAGCACGGGGCAACCUGGUGGCGAGUGGCGAACGGGUGAGUAAUACAUCGGAACGUGCCCAAUCGUGGGGGAUAACGUAGCGAAAGUUGCGCUAAUACCGCAUACGAUCUACGGAUGAAAGCGGGGGAUCGCAAGACCUCGCGCGAGUGGAGCGGCCGAUGUCAGAUUAGGUAGUUGGUGGGGUAAAGGCUCACCAAGCCAACGAUCUGUAGCUGGUCUGAGAGGACGACCAGCCACACUGGAACUGAGACACGGUCCAGACUCCUACGGGAGGCAGCAGUGGGGAAUUUUGGACAAUGGGCGCAAGCCUGAUCCAGCCAUUCCGCGUGCAGGAUGAAGGCUUCGGGUUGUAAACUGCUUUUGUACGGAACGAAACGGCGAGCUCUAAUACAGUUUGCUAAUGACGGUACCGUAAGAAUAAGCACCGGCUAACUACGUG
RNAcentral lists this ribosomal RNA (501 nucleotides) under uncultured bacterium. Its description in RNAcentral is "bacterial SSU rRNA". It matches the Rfam family "Bacterial small subunit ribosomal RNA", at positions 8 to 507 of the family's 1533-position model. The record is from RNAcentral.